GACGAACGCUGGCGGCGUGCUUAACACAUGCAAGUCGAACGGAAAGGCCCUGCUUUUGUGGGGUGCUCGAGUGGCGAACGGGUGAGUAACACGUGAGUAACCUGCCCUUGACUUUGGGAUAACUUCAGGAAACUGGGGCUAAUACCGGAUAGGAGCUCCUGCUGCAUGGUGGGGGUUGGAAAGUUUCGGCGGUUGGGGAUGGACUCGCGGCUUAUGAGCUUGUUGGUGGGGUAGUGGCUUACCAAGGCUUUGACGGGUAGCCGGCCUGAGAGGGUGACCGGCGACAUUGGGACUGAGAGACGGCCCAGACUGGUACGGGAGGCAGCAGUGGGGAAUAUUGCACAAUGGGCGGAAGCCUGAUGCAGCAACGCCGGGUGCGGGAUGCCGGCCUUUGGGUUGUAAACCGCUUUCGCCUGUGACGAAGCGUGAGUGACGGUAAUGGGUAAAGAAGCACCGGCUAACUACGUG
Molecule: ribosomal RNA, 468 nt
Filed under: uncultured bacterium
Lineage: Bacteria
Description: partial 16S ribosomal RNA
Rfam family: Bacterial small subunit ribosomal RNA
Source: RNAcentral